CCGAGUUUACAAACUCCCAACCCUAUGUGAACCUUACCAAUCGUUGCUUCGGCGGGCUUAGCCCCCGCGCCCUCGCCGGCGCCGGGAGAAAGGCGCCCGCCGGGGACCCCAAACCCAAUGUUUUUCAUGCAGUAUUUCUGAGUGGCAAACGCAAAAAAUAGAUCA
Molecule: unclassified non-coding RNA, 165 nt
Filed under: uncultured Ascomycota
Lineage: Eukaryota; Fungi; Ascomycota
Description: sequence contains ITS1
Source: RNAcentral